This 250-nucleotide ribosomal RNA is filed under the name bacterium enrichment culture clone ALO1_GLFRUDD03G11EJ. RNAcentral's name for it is "partial 16S ribosomal RNA". It matches the Rfam family "Bacterial small subunit ribosomal RNA", at positions 9 to 255 of the family's 1533-position model. The record is from RNAcentral.
GUAGUUUGAUCGUGGCUCAGAUUGAACGCUGGCGGCAUGCCUUACACAUGCAAGUCGAACGGCAGCACGGGAGCUUGCUCCUGGUGGCGAGUGGCGAACGGGUGAGUAAUGCAUCGGAACGUAUCCUGGAGUGGGGGAUAACGUAGCGAAAGUUACGCUAAUACCGCAUAUUCUGUCGAGCAAGGAAAGCGGGGGACCUUCGGGCCUCGCGCUCUUGGAGCCGGCCGAUGUCGGAUUAGCUAGUUGGUGA